This 204-nucleotide ribosomal RNA is filed under the name uncultured bacterium. RNAcentral's name for it is "partial 16S ribosomal RNA". It matches the Rfam family "Bacterial small subunit ribosomal RNA", at positions 158 to 353 of the family's 1533-position model. The record is from RNAcentral.
GAUAGCUAAGACCGCAUAGGUACGGACACUGCAUGGUGACCGUAUUAAAAGUGCCUCAAAGCACUGGUAGAGGAUGGACUUAUGGCGCAUUAGCUGGUUGGCGGGGUAACGGCCCACCAAGGCGACGAUGCGUAGCCGACCUGAGAGGGUGACCGGCCACACUGGGACUGAGACACGGCCCAGACUCCUACGGGAGGCAGCAUG